Non-coding RNA from Arachis ipaensis, 811 nucleotides. The record is from RefSeq and is a predicted model, not a curated record. Lineage: Eukaryota; Viridiplantae; Streptophyta; Magnoliopsida; Fabales; Fabaceae.
UUAACCGUCAGUAAUGUGGAGUAUUGCCAAUCUCUCUCUUUUUCUUACUUUCUAUUUCUUCCAAGAAACUCAAAACCCUGUUCGCGGCCGUUUGAGAAUAGAGAAGAUAACACCGCAGUCUUGACCAGGUACCAAUUCGGGCGUUCGCUAUCCGCCGUCUCCGUUCUCCGUCCGCCAUUUGCCGCCCGUUCUCUUCCCCUUUUUUGCAAGUGCGAACCCUAAUUCCGUCUGCAACUUCUUCUAUGCUUGUGCAAUUUUGAAGGAGGUGAAUGUUUUGUGAUAUUAUUGUAUGUUUGUGGUGUCAUCUGUGCAGACAAUGACGAACAUAUUUUGGUUUUGGAAGACUGCCAAGGUUGUUAUGACAUAGAGAAGGACAAAUUAACUUUCACCAAAGUUCAUGAAUUUCUUCCAAACAAAAUAUAUCAUCAUGGUUGCCUCAAAUCCUUUUUCCAAAUAACCAAGUGGAAGGCCAGAGGAAAUGGGUGAAGGCACUUUAGCUGUUUAGCAUAUGUAAAAAGCAUCUAGACUAUGUUCGAGGUAUGGGCUUUGGUGUUUGUGCUUCUCAAGUCUUACUCAAGAGAGCCUUUGCAAUCUGCUACUAUUGUUAGACCAUCAAGAGUCAUAUAUCAUAUAUUUGCUUAGCACUUAGAUAUAUGAAUUGUUAUUGAUGCAAUACUUGUAUUGUAUAUGGCAAUACUUACUCUUUGUAGAUACUUGAAUUAUGAAUCUGAUGAACAGUGAAUUAGAUCUAUGAUUGUGUAAAUGUUUUGAUGUAGAAGGUUCUAUUGAGAAGGAGAACUUUGAUAUUGUA